Molecule: ribosomal RNA, 653 nt
Filed under: Listeria monocytogenes
Lineage: Bacteria; Bacillati; Bacillota; Bacilli; Caryophanales; Listeriaceae
Description: bacterial SSU rRNA
Rfam family: Bacterial small subunit ribosomal RNA
Source: RNAcentral
UUUAAAGAGAGUUUGAUCCUGGCUCAGGACGAACGCUGGCGGCGUGCCUAAUACAUGCAAGUCGAACGAACGGAGGAAGAGCUUGCUCUUCCAAAGUUAGUGGCGGACGGGUGAGUAACACGUGGGCAACCUGCCUGUAAGUUGGGGAUAACUCCGGGAAACCGGGGCUAAUACCGAAUGAUAAAGUGUGGCGCAUGCCACGCUUUUGAAAGAUGGUUUCGGCUAUCGCUUACAGAUGGGCCCGCGGUGCAUUAGCUAGUUGGUAGGGUAAUGGCCUACCAAGGCAACGAUGCAUAGCCGACCUGAGAGGGUGAUCGGCCACACUGGGACUGAGACACGGCCCAGACUCCUACGGGAGGCAGCAGUAGGGAAUCUUCCGCAAUGGACGAAAGUCUGACGGAGCAACGCCGCGUGUAUGAAGAAGGUUUUCGGAUCGUAAAGUACUGUUGUUAGAGAAGAACAAGGAUAAGAGUAACUGCUUGUCCCUUGACGGUAUCUAACCAGAAAGCCACGGCUAACUACGUGCCAGCAGCCGCGGUAAUACGUAGGUGGCAAGCGUUGUCCGGAUUUAUUGGGCGUAAAGCGCGCGCAGGCGGUCUUUUAAGUCUGAUGUGAAAGCCCCCGGCUUAACCGGGGAGGGUCAUUGGAAACUG